AUUAGUAAAAUUUGAGACCUCUUAAAAUGAUCAGUUCCUCUGAUUUUACUUUUUAUAGAUAUACGUUUGAGUAAGAUGAACAUUGUUCUAUUAUUCUAUGAACUUUUGACAACAUGUCUCCGAAAUCCUAGCAAAAAU
Poecilia latipinna (sailfin molly) is the source of this 138-nucleotide long non-coding RNA. RefSeq lists it as uncharacterized. The transcript has 3 exons. Lineage: Eukaryota; Metazoa; Chordata; Actinopteri; Cyprinodontiformes; Poeciliidae. The record is from RefSeq and is a predicted model, not a curated record.